CCCACAAUCCCCAAAAGAAAACCCAUAGUUUGGAUAAAAAAACUCUUGUUUCAAUUGGAAGAAUGAAGAAAACUGCUCACUGACGGCGCCGUCUCUUGCGAUUGCCCAUCUUGGAGUAAACUUCUUUGAAUAAGAAUACUGCCUAUCUCCUCCGUUAACAUCGACUGCUCGUAUAAGAAUUUCCUUCUUAUUGAAAGUGAAGGUGAAGAAGGCAGAAGUUGCUCGACAUUCCCUGAAAGCACAAGUUGCUUGAAUUUCUUUGAAGUCGAUGCUCAGCAAUUCCAGGAGGUAGUUGUUGUUGUUCGUGCAGACAUUGGUUCACCAUUUUUACUUCGUGAUUGUUGUUUGUGAGGAUAAAUACCAUUUCAGUAACAUACAAGUUAAAGUGCAAGAGGAACCCACUUCGUUUUGCGAGGGAUUUUUUUAAAGAUGUUGCUGUUUGUAUAUGCUAUAGUUCUAUUUUCUCUCUUUUAGGAGUUGAAAAAAAUAAUGUCAUACAAUUUGGUUUGGUAUAUUUUUGGUAAUGUGAUACUCUAAUCCUUUGUAAUCAGCAAUGAUGUUUAUAUGAGUACUCACUUUUUUGUA
Molecule: long non-coding RNA, 585 nt
Organism: Nicotiana tabacum (common tobacco)
Lineage: Eukaryota; Viridiplantae; Streptophyta; Magnoliopsida; Solanales; Solanaceae
Source: RefSeq, a predicted model, not a curated record